UCUUCUCCUCGGAGGUCACCAGCGGCAAGCGGCGCCAUGAAGGGUACUUCGAGAAUGGCGACAGUGGCGGCGGCAGCGGCGGCAGCGUGUCCCCGCCGCCCGCCAAGCGCCUGGGCAUCUUCUCGCCGCCGUACCCGAGCGUGGGCAUCAGCCCCGACCUGCCCGCGCAUGCCAGGGACUACCGCACGCCCGCGCCCCCGCCGGACGACGAGUGGAAGAACAUUCAUGUGAUGCUGACCUGCAUUCUGAGCAUGGUUGAGA
This is a long non-coding RNA of Penaeus monodon (black tiger shrimp), 261 nucleotides long. RefSeq lists it as uncharacterized. The record is from RefSeq and is a predicted model, not a curated record. Lineage: Eukaryota; Metazoa; Arthropoda; Malacostraca; Decapoda; Penaeidae. The transcript has 3 exons.